Molecule: long non-coding RNA, 3317 nt
Organism: Daphnia pulex (common water flea)
Lineage: Eukaryota; Metazoa; Arthropoda; Branchiopoda; Diplostraca; Daphniidae
Exons: 6
Source: RefSeq, a predicted model, not a curated record
UUAUUACAGUAGAUAUUCGGUAACAAUCUAGGUAGUUGGUAUUGUAGUUUAUUUUUAGCUUAUUAUUAUAAAUAUCAACGCCGUUAUUAAUAGUGGAAAUUGGACCAAUUUCCUUUUUUAAUUACGGCCAAUUUAAUUGGUAAACAAUCCACGUUGACCAAGGGUAAGGAAAUUCAAAAUUCAUCGGCGUUUCUGUUCGUUGUUUGAUUAACCAGAGGGAACAUUGACAUUGAGGCAAUAUACACUACUGCGCCUACUUUUUUCGCUGAGCUGUGUUAGUCUUUUUGUUAUUAUUAUUUUUUUUCGAAAUUUUGAAAGACACAUAUCUGGAAUCUGAAUUCUGAUCAUCACAAUAUUUCAUCACAUAUCUGAAGUAUUUUUGUUUGGCAACGUCUUAUGGAUCGCAUGUUCGGAUUGUUCGCAUCAUUUGUCAUUUCGUCUGUGGCGUGGUCUGAUCUGUUCGUUCGUUCGUUCGUUCGUUCGUAUUGUUUCUCAAUUGGGAAGAGUGAGUGUGAGUGUCUGAGUGAUCCACGCUGCGUUGAACAAUAGAAGGCAAUUAAUCAUUUUCAAAAUAACAAUUAUUUCAAGGUUCUAUGUAGUAGGAAAGUUUGUAUCUGGUUCAAACAUGGACACGUUAAAUUCCAAAAGUUGUUAUGAAACUAGGUAAGUUAAACCAGCCUUCACAUUCAAAUUGUCCUCAAUGCUUAUUGAAAUUUUGUGUUGGUCAUAUCAUGUGGAGGAAGAGCUUGUGGGCUGGGCAGCCUGGGCUACAGGUGUAAAAAGAAAUCAGAAUAAUGGUAUUGAAAAAAUUUGCAAUCAGCACCAUGAUUCAAGAAAAUUGAUCGAAACAUCAUCCAAACUGAUCGAAGUUUUAACUUGACAGUGUUAGGGAAUAAGUUCAUCUUUAUUGAAAGUCAAAUCAAGCUUUCGUAAAGUGCAGCUCAUGGCAAGGGUGUGUUGACUCCACUCCUCCACACAAUUCUGUAAAACCAGAAAAGGAAGAUGUCAUUCUCAUGCAGUGGAAAUAGUUGAAGAAAAGUUGUCACAAGAUCAAAUGGACACAGAACUUGACACUUAUAACUUCAAGCUACACUUGCACUUAGUUUCAAGUUUGAAAAGGGUUUGAAUGCAGAAAACUCAAAACAUUUGAAAAAGAGCUGAAUCACGGAAAUUCAAUGGGUCAAUACUUGGAGUUCUCAUUCCAUGGUGCCUACCGCAACUUAUAGAUCUCGCUCUACGAACUACGAUGCAACGAUGGUGGAAGAAAAUGUCGACGAUGUAGUUUGGCGUUGAUAAAAGUUGCCUUCAUCCCCUGGCUGGUGAAGAAGAAGAGAUCCAGGUCUUUUAUUUAAUGGCAUCGCUUUUACGUGACACGAGUCUUCACAAACUGCUGAAUUCGAAGAAGGCAAACUACGCAAGCGGACAUCAGGCAAGGGGCAAUUUUGAAAACACAUCUGGACUCAAAAGCCUGCUGAAAAAUGAAACUUUGUUCUGGGCCUACGUCAGAAGAGUCUUUGCAGAUCGACCAACUAGAACUCCCCCCCCCCCCCCCCAAAAAAAAAAAAAAAAAAAACUGGCCGACUUUGAUUAGUCUCUAUACGCUCACGUGUCCGCUGAAGAAGUCGAAAGUUUUAUCUGUGAUCACGUUCGGCAGGUAAUGACUUGGAAUCGGGGAAUUCUCUGGUGGUCCUUGAGCGAAAACCGAUAGUUUGGCAGCCAUCGUCUCUUCCGCCCCAAUUACAGGAACUCAUCCUUGCCGAUCUGUUUGAAUUACAUCAGAAAAACAGAUGUUUGGCCCAUGCUCGGUCUGUUCUCAUUUCUUCCACUACACGUCUUCCCUCGUAAUACCGAGCCACUUACCUGUAAUCAUCAGCAAAGUUGCGAAAUUGUUCGCAUUCAUGUUCAGAUUUCCUAAACUGAAAUUAAAAACAAAACAUUAUAGUCAGGUUAGUACUGGAAGUAUCCUUUGUAGCACUUACUUUUACCAUCGAAUUUUAACACCACACGCAUCUGCGCUAUUAAUACCCAUUUAAAAAAUGCGGAGGGCUUUUUGCCUUUUUCCAGUUCGUUAUUUCCAAUUGAUUAACCGAAAAUGUUUUUGUUUUAAUAAUUUGUUUAAUCCAUCUGUUUAUAUUCAUGCAACCCUGCCCACUCCCCCUCGAUAUCAGUGCAAAUUUUUCAACAUAUUGGCCGUCUGACGUGUCGAUUCCUGUGCUGAACUGUGUUGUGGUGGUGUGAUUGUGAUGACAAUUCUCAUUCUAGGCUAAACUGCUGUUGAACAGUUGUCUGUUGUUACCUGUACUUCUCAUCCCAUGUAGAAACACGUCACAGCAGUAUAAGGAGAUGAUCCCUUUGCUUAACUACUGAAGAGUUUGAGAACAUGCAAAAUCUGAAUUUGAUUGCUGUCUCUUGUCUUUCAUGGCUUUUUUGUAGCUGGCUGGUUAAAGGUGUGGUCAAGUCAAGUUGAGCUGCUGCAUGCAGUCUAUAGAGCUGAUGUUAUGAAGUGUGGAAGGGUAACCAAACUGAAAGAUGUUCUUGGAAUGGACCCAUGGCAAGGUGAUAUUUCAACUUUACAAUGGUGCUCAAUAUGCAGUAGUUUUGUACCUAUUUCCAGUUCAAGCUGUUGGAUGCCUUCUGUAGUCCUGGUGUUAUCCUGGAAUGUGUUGAUUGUCAAUGCCUUUGUUUCUUGUACUGUGUUAUGCCUCUGUGAAGUACCUAGAUGAUUGGACCCAGUUGAAGAAGUUAAUGAUGUAGAUCUAGACAAGUGCAUAAUCUGGGCUCUCUUCUUUUCUGUGGCCCCGUUUCCCUAACUAACCACUAACCAACGCCCGCCGGUGGUCACUCACCCGCUGUGAUAACCAGGAGGAUGAGGAGGGCUCUGGUCGAACGGGGACUUGGAAGGCGCAUGAUCUGAUGAAAACUUUUGGAGGGUCAUGUGUCUAACCCUGAAGCCUAGUAUGACUAAUCUCUCCCUAGUAAAACUGGCCUCGCACUCUUCUCUCUUCUUCCAUGUCCAGGUUAUUUCCCUGGGCACAGUCAAUCAAGACAGUGUCUCCCCCUGUCUAGAUAGGCUGGACAUUGCAAGGGUAAAGUCAAGCAAGGGCUGUUGACCAAAUCAUCAGCAUCAAUCGGUAAAAUAAAAAUUUAAAGCAUUUGAAAAAAAUAACCUGGGAAAAUAAUAGUAAAUGUAAUUAACAUAAUUUAUUUUAAUUUAUUUACAAAUAUGUAUAAUUUAUUCAGAAUUUUGUUAAUUUUAUUCUGAAUUAUUUAUGUAUGCUUGUUAUUACCUCAAAUAAAUAUUUAAAAAUUUAAAUUAA